CCUACGGGAGGCAGCAGUGGGGAAUCUUCCGCAAUGGGCGAAAGCCUGACGGAGCAACGCCGCGUGAUCGAAUGAAGGCCUUCGGGUUGUAAAGAUCUGUUGACAGGGACGAAUAAGCAAUGCAAAUAGCUUUGUGUAUGACGGUACUUGUUUAGAAAGCUCCGGCUAACUACGUGCCAGCAGCCGCGGGAAUACGUAGGGAGCAAGCGUUGUCCGGAGUUACUGGGCGUAAAGGGCGGGUAGGUGGUCGCUUAAGUCAGGUGUGAAAACUUCGGGCGCAACCUGAAGACUGCACUUGAGACUGGCUGUCUUGAGGACAGUGGAGGUAGGUGGAAUUCGUGGUGUAGCGGUGAAAUGCGUAGAUAUUAGGAGGAACCCCAGUGGCGAAGGCGGCUUUCUGGACUGUGCCUGACACUGAGGCGCGAAAGCGUGGGUAGCGAACGGGAUUAGAUACCCCUGUAGUC
RNAcentral lists this ribosomal RNA (464 nucleotides) under uncultured bacterium. Its description in RNAcentral is "partial 16S ribosomal RNA". It matches the Rfam family "Bacterial small subunit ribosomal RNA", at positions 338 to 795 of the family's 1533-position model. The record is from RNAcentral.